CUGAACACACAGAGAGACCUACACAGACUGGAGACCAGCUCUGAACACACAGAGAGACCUACACAGACUGGAGACCAGCUCUGAACACACAGAGAGACCUACACAGACUGGAGACCAGCUCUGAACACACAGAGAGACCUACAGAGAGACCUACACAGACUGGAGACCAGCUCUGAACACACAGAGAGACCUACACAGACUGGAGACCAGCUCUGAACACACAGAGAGACCUACACAGACAGACUGAGACACAGUACUAACACACACACACACACACAGCACUACCAGACACACCAGCCAUGAAGAGGAAGGAUGAAGCUCGUACCGAGGGCCUGGAUCUUAGAAAGUCCUGAUGUGACAGAAAGAAGAGACAGUACAUGUAGGAAGGACAUGCUGGUGCUCACUACAGUAGCCCCGCCCCCACCCCUCCCACAAUGCUUUGGGUUUGUUCCUGUCUCACUACAGUAGCCCCGCCCCCGCCCCUCCCACAAUGCUUUGGGUUUGUUCCUGUCUCACUACAGUAGCCCCGCCCCCGCCCCUCCCACAAUGCUUUGGGUUUGUUCCUGUCUCACUACAGUAGCCCCGCCCCCACCCCUCCCACAAUGCUUUGGGUUUGUUCCUGUCUCACUACAGUAGCCCCGCCCCCGCCCCUCCCACAAUGCUUUGGGUUUGUUGAACUCUUGUUCAUCUGGGGGGGGUUCCCUCUAAAUGGACGAGUCUCUGGACAGAAAACCUGGCUGAACAAGUGUUUCAGGUGUGGAUUUAAAUAUUCAGAUGUUUUGGUGUCGUAAACAUCCUGAUGUAUCAUAUUGAAGAGAUAUAUACAGUGUGAUGGACAUUUAACUGAACAUCAAGGACAGACGUCACUAUAUUUUAAAGGUUAUACUGUGUAUCUGGAGUCAGGGUGGAGGGGGGGGGGUAACAGGAUGUUUUAGUCAGGAAGUGGUUGAAUAUAAACUCUGGUGUUAUUAUUAUAAUUGAUCCGAUGUUAUUAACUUUAUAUAAUUAUAGAUAGUCUGUUCUAUAUAGAGGUUAUUUUGAGUCUGGUCUCAGACCACACACACACACACACACACACACACACACCAGAGAGAGACGUCUCAGACACACACACACCGAGAGAGAGACAUGUCUCACAGACACACACACACCCGAGAGAGACAUCUUAGACACACACAGAGAGAGAGUGACGUCUCGGACACACACACCGAGAGAGACAUCUUAGACACACACAGAGAGAGAGUGACGUCUCAGACACACACACCGAGAGAGACAUCUUAGACACACACAGAGAGAGAGUGACGUCUCGGACAGACACACCGAGAGAGUGACGUCUCGGACACACACACCGAGAGAGUGACGUCUCGGACACACACACCGAGAGAGUGACGUCUCGGACACACACACCGAGAGAGUGACGUCUCGGACACACACACCGAGAGAGUGACGUCUCGGACACACACACCGAGAGAGUGACGUCUCGGACACACACACCGAGAGAGUGACGUCUCGGACACACACACCGAGUGACGUCUCGGACACACACACCGAGAGAGUGACGUCUCGGACACACACACCGAGAGAGUGACGUCUCGGACACACACACCGAGAGAGACGUCUCAGACACACACACACACACACACACGUCACUCACACAGUCUCGGACACACACAGAGAGAGUGACGUCUCGGACACACACACCGAGAGAGUGACGUCUCGGACACACACACCGAGAGAGAGUGACGUCUCGGACACACACACCGAGAGAGGGAGAGACGUCUCGGACACACACACCGAGAGAGGGAGAGACGUCUCGGACACACACACCGAGAGAGGGAGAGACGUCUCGGACACACACACCGAGAGAGGGAGAGACGUCUCGGACACACACACCGAGAGAGGGAGAGACGUCUCGGACACACACACCGAGAGAGUGAGAGACGUCUCGGACACACACACCGAGAGAGUGACGUCUCGGACACACACACCGAGAGAGAGGGAGAGACGUCUCGGACACACACACCGAGAGAGGGAGAGACGUCUCGGACACACACACCGAGAGAGGGAGAGACGUCUCGGACACACACACCGAGAGAGGGAGAGACGUCUCGGACACACACACCGAGAGAGUGAGAGAGACGUCUCGGACACACACACCGAGAGAGAGAGACGUCUCAAUCGAGAGACGAGGUGGUCUGAUCUAGACAGAGGAGAUAUGAACCAGGUCACAUGCCCAUAUUAUUUAUCACACACAGAGACCUUGUUUCACGGUUAAUAUUUGGACCCCACGGGGGGGGGGGUGUAUGUGUGUAGUGUGUGUUUGGUAAGUCUAGGUACUGUACGGUGUGUUGUAUUUUACCCGCCCCAUCCUAUUUCAGUUCAAGAGGGUUGAUUUGUUCCAUCUCAAACACACACCUUUAUAUAGAACAGAAUAGAACAACCUCUGGUCAUAUAGAACAACCUCUGGUCAUGUAGAACAACCUCUGGUCAUGUAGAACAACCUCUGGUCAUGUAGAACAACCUCUGGUCAUGUAGAACAACCUCUGGUCAUGUAGAACAACCUCUGGUCAUGUAGAACAACCUCUGGUCAUGUAGAACAACCUCUGGUCAUGUAGAACAACCUCUGGUCAUGUAGAAUAACCUCUGGUCAUGUAGAACUACCUCUGGUCAUGUAGAA
Molecule: long non-coding RNA, 2677 nt
Organism: Oncorhynchus tshawytscha (Chinook salmon)
Lineage: Eukaryota; Metazoa; Chordata; Actinopteri; Salmoniformes; Salmonidae
Source: Ensembl